CCUACGGGCGGCAGCAGUGAGGAAUAUUGGUCAAUGGCCGAGAGUCUGAACCAGCCAAGUAGCGUGAAGGAUGACUGCGCUAAGGGUCGUAAACCUCUUUUACAUGGGAAUAAAACGUCCCACUCGUGCGAUCUUGUAUGUACCAUAUGAAUAAGGAUCGGCUAACUCCGUGCCAGCAGCCGCGGUAAUACGGAGGAUCCGAGCGUUAUCCGGAUUUAUUGGGUUUAAAGGGAGCGUAUGUGGAUUGUUAAGCCAGUUGUGAAAGUUCGCGGCUCAACCGUAAAAUUGCCGUUGAAACUGGCAGUCUUGAGUACCGUAGAGGUGGGCGGAAUUCGUGGUGUAGCGGUGAAAUGCUUAGAUAUCACGAAGAACUCCGAUUGCGAAGGCAGUUCACUGGACUGCAACUGACACUGAGGCUCGAAAGUGUGGGUAUCAAACAGGAUUAGAUACCCCUGUAGUC
RNAcentral lists this ribosomal RNA (460 nucleotides) under uncultured bacterium. RNAcentral describes it as "partial 16S ribosomal RNA". It matches the Rfam family "Bacterial small subunit ribosomal RNA", at positions 338 to 795 of the family's 1533-position model. The record is from RNAcentral.